GCAUGUGUGUGUGCACGUGUGGGUGUAUCUGCUGCUGGUUAGACAUUAAAAGCUGGCAGACUAUCGCUGUCGGCCAUGUUGAAUUCUGAAGUGUGAGAGGUAAAUUACCUUGUAGUUAGCCUUGUGUCCUGCUGAGGACCCAAGAGGCAUCUCAUGAGGGUCCCAUCUGCACUCCGAGGGGACCAAACACCUAUUCUGGUAGAGCCUCCAGGCCUCUUGUUUCUGUGGCUUUCCCUCACAAUAAGGCUUAGGUUGGAUUGAAUGGUCCUGUUCUGAAGCAAUCGCCGG
This 288-nucleotide long non-coding RNA is filed under the name Mus pahari (shrew mouse). Its description in RNAcentral is "predicted gene 42871 (MGP_PahariEiJ_G0032958.1)". Lineage: Eukaryota; Metazoa; Chordata; Mammalia; Rodentia; Muridae. The record is from RNAcentral.